Long non-coding RNA from Triticum dicoccoides, 1383 nucleotides. RefSeq lists it as uncharacterized. The record is from RefSeq and is a predicted model, not a curated record. The transcript has 6 exons. Lineage: Eukaryota; Viridiplantae; Streptophyta; Magnoliopsida; Poales; Poaceae.
UUAUGUAAUCAGGUAAAACCUACUCUUGCAUGCUCCUGAUUGUGUGUGUAUUUUGUAUCUUCAGAGUUAUUUUAUUCUUCGCCUUAUGUAUUCAAUGUGGAACAAGUUAUAUAAAACUUUAAAUGUACAUGAUGGAGCUCCUUUGUGAGCUUCCAUAGUUGGAGAAUGUGAUAUGCCAUUUUUUAAAUAUACUUUGUGGCUUGUUUUGCUCUCUGCUCUAACAUCUUUUCUUCUAGGAACGCUUGUAGGCUGAAAGUCCACUAGACAGCUUUCUGAAAUCACUUGGACUUGAGAAGUGUUCUAUUUCCUUCCAGUUAGAGUAGGUUUGGCUAUUUACCUAAAUCUUUGCAUUGUUUUUUUUUCGUGUUUGGCUGACAAUUGUUGUGUUGCUGGUUGACAUGGCGGCCCUACGUCACAUGACUGAAAUUGAUCUCAAGUGUUAGGCAUCCUGAUGGUACAACGAUGUAGGGUCUCUUCCUCCUCACCCGCAGGCCCCGUGCCGCCGCCCUCCAUACCCCCGUCCGGCGACCUGGGCGUCUGGCCGACGCCUCGCCGCUCAUUGCCGCAGCAUGCACUGGAUGGGAUGGUGUUCUACCCCUCCGUGUCCCCAAAAUGUGCCAAUGGAUGACAUUCUCCAGAUUAACAAGUUCAUUUGUGCUGCUGCUCUUACGAUGUCUCGGGGCAUUGGGGUGGGCAAGAUGAAGGUGCUCAGCGGUUGCUGCAAGCGCUGUGAGGCCGGGCGGUGGAGGCGUACGCAUGGGCCACAGUUCAGGUGCCAAAUCUUGCUCAUGGAGGGAUCAUAUAUAGCCAGACACUUAUAGUAGAUGAAGCUCACCGUUCGUAUCAUGAGAAUGUGGGAACACUCUAAUAUGGAUUCUACUGUGUUACAUGGUCCAAAUUUCCUUAUGGUUGAUCACAAGGGCAACACAAUGGAAGGAACGAUCCCCACAUAUAGGAUGUGUACCUACGAAAAUGAGUUCCAAAAAGGGGUCAUAUAUACGAUUGAAAACUUUUAUGAUACGUACAGCCAGGAAAAAAAUACAGGGCGGUGGAGCAUCCGUUCUGGCUCAGAUUCGCUCAACAAACAUUAAUAUAACCAGUCGUUCCGCAACCAGAAGAUUUACCUGUGUGUGGAACGACUGGUUAUAUGAAUGUUUUCAUCUUCGAUAGAAGGACACCGAGAGGCACGUGCGAUGUGAUUUCCCUGUAGACAUCAUGUCUGACGGUACCUCAUUCGAGGAUGGUCUCUUUGUCGCACAAUCGACGACACUGUGGGGCUCUGCAGGAUGUUUUCCCAUGAAAAACCAGAGACUGCGAACUUCAUCACCGAUAAUUCGCUCCACCUUCUAAACAGCAAGUAUGCAUCUUUAUCUUUGUGCAAAA